This 211-nucleotide ribosomal RNA is filed under the name Mycoplasmopsis pullorum. Its description in RNAcentral is "Mycoplasma pullorum partial 23S ribosomal RNA". It matches the Rfam family "Bacterial large subunit ribosomal RNA", at positions 561 to 773 of the family's 2925-position model. The record is from RNAcentral. Lineage: Bacteria; Bacillati; Mycoplasmatota; Mycoplasmoidales; Metamycoplasmataceae.
UACUUACAAUUAGUCAGAGCCCGUUAAUGGGUGAUGGCGUACAUCUUGCAGUAUGGACCGGCGAGUUAUGUUAACAUGCGAGGUUAAGUGGAAAAAAACGGAGCCGCAGAGAAAUCGAGUCUUAAUAGGGCGUUUAGUAUGUUGAUAUAUACCCGAAACCAUGUGAUCUAUUCAUGAGCAGACUGAAGCUUGGCUAACCCCAAGUGGAGGG